UGGAUCCAGACUUUGAUCAUGGCUCAGGAUGAACGCUAGCUACAGGCUUAACACAUGCAAGUCGAGGGGAAACGGCAUCGAAAGCUUGCUUUUGAUGGGCGUCGACCGGCGCACGGGUGAGUAACGCGUAUCCAACCUGCCCACCACUUGGGGAUAACCUUGCGAAAGUAAGACUAAUACCCAAUGACGUCUCUAGAAGACAUCUGAAAGAGAUUAAAGAUUUAUCGGUGAUGGAUGGGGAUGCGUCUGAUUAGCUUGUUGGCGGGGUAACGGCCCACCAAGGCGACGAUCAGUAGGGGUUCUGAGAGGAAGGUCCCCCACAUUGGAACUGAGACACGGUCCAAACUCCUACGGGAGGCAGCAGUGAGGAAUAUUGGUCAAUGGGCGAGAGCCUGAACCAGCCAAGUAGCGUGCAGGAUGACGGCCCUAUGGGUUGUAAACUGCUUUUAUAAGGGAAUAAAGUGAGUCUCGUGAGACUUUUUGCAUGUACCUUAUGAAUAAGGACCGGCUAAUUCCGUGCCAGCAGCCGCGGUAAUACGGAAGGUCCGGGCGUUAUCCGGAUUUAUUGGGUUUAAAGGGAGCGUAGGCCGGAGAUUAAGCGUGUUGUGAAAUGUAGACGCUCAACGUCUGCACUGCAGCGCGAACUGGUUUCCUUGAGUACGCACAAAGUGGGCGGAAUUCGUGGUGUAGCGGUGAAAUGCUUAGAUAUCACGAAGAACUCCGAUUGCGAAGGCAGCUCACUGGAGCGCAACUGACGCUGAA
This 762-nucleotide ribosomal RNA is filed under the name uncultured Bacteroidota bacterium. RNAcentral describes it as "bacterial SSU rRNA". It matches the Rfam family "Bacterial small subunit ribosomal RNA", at positions 1 to 750 of the family's 1533-position model. The record is from RNAcentral. Lineage: Bacteria; Pseudomonadati; Bacteroidota.